UACGUAGGUGGCGAGCGUUGUCCGGAUUUACUGGGCGUAAAGCGCGCGUAGGUGCUUCUUAAGUCUUGUCGUGAAAGGUCGCGGCCCAACUGCGACAGUGCGCGGGAUACUGGGGAGCUUGAGGGCAGCAGAGGCCGGUGGAAUUCCCGGUGGAGUGGUGAAAUGCGCAGAUAUCAGGAGGAACACCGGUGGCGAAGGCGGGAUCCUGGGCCAGUACUGACGCUGAGGAGCGAAAGCGUGGGGAGCAAACAGG
RNAcentral lists this ribosomal RNA (253 nucleotides) under uncultured bacterium. RNAcentral's name for it is "partial 16S ribosomal RNA". It matches the Rfam family "Bacterial small subunit ribosomal RNA", at positions 524 to 776 of the family's 1533-position model. The record is from RNAcentral.